This is a long non-coding RNA of Mesocricetus auratus (golden hamster), 597 nucleotides long. RefSeq lists it as uncharacterized. Lineage: Eukaryota; Metazoa; Chordata; Mammalia; Rodentia; Cricetidae. The transcript is spliced from 3 exons. The record is from RefSeq and is a predicted model, not a curated record.
UGCCUUCCCAAAAGGGUGGAAGAGUGUAGCUGCCACUAUUGUGUCUGCACACGGGUCUUCGAGAGAGCUUCGAGAACUGGCUGGUUUCUUUGUCCCUUCUGGUGACCUGAGCAAGCAUCCUUCCCCCGCUGUUUUAAGUGAUGAUGGUCCGUCCCUGCGCUCUCGGCAGGAAGGAUGGAGGAGUGGAGCAGUCCAUGCGUGCCCAACAGAACGAAGAGGAGGCAGCUGUGACAGGAGCAGGAGAAGGCUCGGGCUGGUAGAGGAGCAGGUUGUGCCCAGCAAGGCAGAGGCCCGAUGCAGCUUGGGGCACACACAGUAGAAGUCCCUGCUGGAUCCCAAGGCUGUGUUCCCGGCUCAGGCUGCACAUCCACCUCGCCCAGGGAAUGUUCUCCUGCACUCCGGGAGAGUCCAAGUCAGGAGGCUGAGGCCAGGUCAUGCUUCUAACAUGGAACCUGUAACCUGGGGCGUCUCUUGGUCUCCCGGAGCAGGCCUAAGGCAACCCUGGGACCCACGGGAAGGCUUCUUCCUCUGGAUGUUUUCAUAGAACAUUCUCUCUUGUUGUCCUUUCCUGAAAAAAUAAACAAAGUCCAGAGUUCA